UACGUAGGGUGCGAGCGUUAAUCGGAAUUACUGGGCGUAAAGCGUGCGCAGGCGGUUUUGUAAGCCAGGGGUGAAAUCCCCGGGCUCAACCUGGGAAUGGCAUUUGGGACUGCAAGGCUGGAGUGUGGCAGAGGAGACUGGAAUUCCUGGUGUAGCAGUGAAAUGCGUAGAUAUCAGGAGGAAUACCGAUGGCGAAGGCAGGUCUCUGGGCUGACACUGACGCUCAUGCACGAAAGCGUGGGGAGCAAACAGG
RNAcentral lists this ribosomal RNA (253 nucleotides) under uncultured bacterium. Its description in RNAcentral is "partial 16S ribosomal RNA". It matches the Rfam family "Bacterial small subunit ribosomal RNA", at positions 524 to 776 of the family's 1533-position model. The record is from RNAcentral.